This 515-nucleotide ribosomal RNA is filed under the name uncultured bacterium. RNAcentral describes it as "bacterial SSU rRNA". It matches the Rfam family "Bacterial small subunit ribosomal RNA", at positions 93 to 630 of the family's 1533-position model. The record is from RNAcentral.
GAGUGGCGGACGGGUGAGGAACACGUGGGUGAUCUACCCUUCGGUGAGGAAUACCACCGGGAAACCGGUGACAAUACCGCAUGCGCUCCGCAAGAAGCAAAGUUUCUUUUCGGAGAGACGCCAAAGGAUGAGCCCGCGCCCGAUUAGCUGGUUGGUGGGGUAACGGCCUACCAAGGCGACCAUCGGUAGCUGGUCUGAGAGGACGAUCAGCCACACUGGGAUUGAGAACGGCCCAGACUCCUACGGGGGGCAGCAGUGAGGAAUUUUCGUCAAUGGGGGAAACCCUGAACGAGCAACGCCGCGUGCAGGAAGACGGCCUUCGGGUUGUAAACUGCUUUUCUUGGGGAAGAGAACGGACGGUACCCAAGGAAUCAGCCCCGGCUAACUACGUGCCAGCAGCCGCGGUAAUACGUAGGGGGCGAGCGUUGUCCGGAGUUAUUGGGCGUAAAGCGCACGCAGGCGGUCAGCCAAGUUCGAGGUGACAGUCGUCGGCUCAACCGAGGAAGGACCUUGAA